This 253-nucleotide ribosomal RNA is filed under the name uncultured bacterium. RNAcentral's name for it is "partial 16S ribosomal RNA". It matches the Rfam family "Bacterial small subunit ribosomal RNA", at positions 524 to 776 of the family's 1533-position model. The record is from RNAcentral.
UACAGAGGUCUCAAGCGUUGUUCGGAUUCAUUGGGCGUAAAGGGUGUGUAGGUGGCGCGGUAAGUCGGGUGUGAAAUUUCGGAGCUUAACUCCGAAACUGCAUUCGAUACUGCGGUGCUUGAGGACUGGAGAGGAGAUUGGAAUUCACGGUGUAGCAGUGAAAUGCGUAGAUAUCGUGAGGAAGACCAGUGGCGAAGGCGGAUCUCUGGACAGUUCCUGACGCUGAGGCGCGAAGGCCAGGGGAGCAAACGGG